This 758-nucleotide long non-coding RNA is filed under the name Rhinopithecus bieti (black snub-nosed monkey). RNAcentral describes it as "lncRNA (ENSRBIG00000046315.1)". Lineage: Eukaryota; Metazoa; Chordata; Mammalia; Primates; Cercopithecidae. The record is from RNAcentral.
GUAAACCCUACUUUGUUCCUUCUCCUCCUCUGCAACCAUGUCCAGUGGCCUCAGAUACACAGAAAAAUGGGACCAACAGUUCUAUCUUUUUCAAGCAACAGAGUCUCUCCUGCUGACUGCCAACCAAUGGGUGCACAAAAGUCUGGCAGAAAUUCUAAAACUCUAGUUUUUUGAACCUCCUUUCAAAGCUGGAUAUUCUUAACUAUUCUACUUGAGAGAAGGGAAGGAACAAGAUAGUUCUUAUUCGCACAUCACAUAUCAGAAAGGUUCUCCUCUAAUACUCCUGGAACAGCUGCUAUAGGCAUUCUCCUAGAAGAAAACCACUUAUGCCUAGGAGUUUGGAAUCUGGCAAGGCACUUAGAGGCUCCCAGAAAAUCAGAGAAGGAAGACCUGCAGAUGGGGAAAGAUACAAGACCCACCUGGAGCUCCAGCUCUGGGAACCCCUCUCCAGACUGUAAAACUUGUGGUGAAAUGGAUUGAUAAUGUCCUGUUUAAUCAGACAGAUGAACACCUUGUUACCUUAGGAAAAACACUUCAACUUCAAGAAACCUUGGUCAUCAUCUGUAAGAUGAGGUCAACUACUUCUAAACCACAAGGUUGUUCAGAAAAUUCAAAGAUGUCAGGUGAGUAACAUGCCCAGAAGAAUGUCUAACCCCAAGUAGAGCCUUAACAAAUGUUUGUUUUCUCCCCUUUCCCUUGUGUAAAUUUAUUAACAACUACCUCAGAUAUACCUGUGAUGGUUUUAUUUUUACCUAUUA